UACGGAGGGUGCAAGCGUUAUCCGGAAUCACUGGGUUUAAAGGGUGCGUAGGCGGCCAGAUAAGUCAGAGGUGAAAGACGGUAGCUUAACUAUCGCAGUGCCUUUGAUACUGUUUGGCUUGAAUAAGGAUGAGGUAAGCGGAAUGUGACAUGUAGCGGUGAAAUGCAUAGAUAUGUCAUAGAACACCUAUUGCGAAGGCAGCUUACUAGACCUAUAUUGACGCUGAGGCACGAAAGCGUGGGUAUCGAAC
This 250-nucleotide ribosomal RNA is filed under the name uncultured bacterium. RNAcentral describes it as "partial 16S ribosomal RNA". It matches the Rfam family "Bacterial small subunit ribosomal RNA", at positions 524 to 773 of the family's 1533-position model. The record is from RNAcentral.